Molecule: ribosomal RNA, 253 nt
Filed under: uncultured bacterium
Lineage: Bacteria
Description: partial 16S ribosomal RNA
Rfam family: Bacterial small subunit ribosomal RNA
Source: RNAcentral
UACGGAGGUUGCAAGCGUUAAUCGGAAUUACUGGGCGUAAAGCGCACGCAGGCGGUUUGUUAAGUCAGAUGUGAAAUCCCCGGGCUCAACCUGGGAACUGCAUCUGAUACUGGCAAGCUUGAGUCUCGUAGAGGGGGGUAGAAUUCCAGGUGUAGCGGUGAAAUGCGUAGAGAUCUGGAGGAAUACCGGUGGCGAAGGCGGCCCCCUGGACGAAGACUGACGCUCAGGUGCGAAAGCGUGGGGAGCAAACAGG